AUCAGUGAAAACGAGUAGGGCGGGACACGUGAUAUCCUGUCUGAAUAUGGGGGGACCAUCCUCCAAGGCUAAAUACUACUGACUGACCGAUAGUGAACCAGUACCGUGAGGGAAAGGCGAAAAGAACCCCUGUGAGGGGAGUGAAAUAGAACCUGAAACCGUGUACGUACAAGCAGUAGGAGCACCUUCGUGGUGUGACUGCGUACCUUUUGUAUAAUGGGUCAGCGACUUAAUUUUAGUAGCAAGGUUAACCGUUUAGGGGAGCCGUAGGGAAACCGAGUCUUAACUGGGCGUACAGUUGCUAGGAUUAGACCCGAAACCAGGUGAUCUAGCCAUGGGCAGGUUGAAGGUUGAGUAACAUCAACUGGAGGACCGAACCGACUAAUGUUGAAAAAUUAGCGGAUGACUUGUGGCUAGGGGUGAAAGGCCAAUCAAACCUGGAGAUAGCUGGUUCUCCCCGAAAGCUAUUUAGGUAGCGCCUCGGACGAAUACUACUGGGGGUAGAGCACUGUUAAGGCUAGGGGGUCAUCCCGACUUACCAACCCUUUGCAAACUCCGAAUACCAGUAAGUACUAUCCGGGAGACACACGGCGGGUGCUAACGUCCGUCGUGGAGAGGGAAACAACCCAGACCGCCAGCUAAGGUCCCAAAGUAUAGCUAAGUGGGAAACGAUGUGGGAAGGCUCAGACAGCCAGGAUGUUGGCUUAGAAGCAGCCAUCAUUUAAAGAAAGCGUAAUAGCUCACUGGUCGAGUCGGCCUGCGCGGAAGAUGUAACGGGGCUAAGCUAUACACCGAAGCUGCGGCUACGUACCUUAGGGUAUGUGGGGUAGGGGAGCGUUCUGUAAGCCGUUGAAGGUGGUCUGUAAGGGCUGCUGGAGGUAUCAGAAGUGCGAAUGCUGACAUGAGUAACGAUAAAGGGAGUGAAAAACUCCCUCGCCGGAAGACCAAGGGUUCCUGUCCAACGUUAAUCGGGGCAGGGUAAGUCGACUCCUAAGGCGAGGCCGAAAGGCGUAGUCGAUGGGAAACAGGUUAAUAUUCCUGUACUUCUUACAAUUGCGAUGGGGGGACGGAGAAGGCUAGGUGGGCCUGGCGACGGUUGUCCAGGUUCAAGUACGUAGGCGGGUGGUUUAGGUAAAUCCGGACCGCUACUAACGCUGAGAUACGAUGUCGAGCUACUACGGUAGUGAAGUCAUUGAUGCCAUGCUUCCAGGAAAAGCCUCUAAGCUUCAGAUUGUAAGGAAUCGUACCCCAAACCGACACAGGUGGUCGGGUAGAGAAUACCAAGGCGCUUGAGAGAACUCGGGUGAAGGAACUAGGCAAAAUGGUACCGUAACUUCGGGAGAAGGUACGCUCUUAUCAGUGAAGUCCCUUGCGGAUGGAGCAGACGAGAGUCGCAGAUACCAGGUGGCUGCAACUGUUUAUUAAAAACACAGCACUGUGCAAAAUCGUAAGAUGACGUAUACGGUGUGACGCCUGCCCGGUGCCGGAAGGUUAAUUGAUGGGGUUAGACUUCGGUCGAAGCUCUUGAUCGAAGCCCCGGUAAACGGCGGCCGUAACUAUAACGGUCCUAAGGUAGCGAAAUUCCUUGUCGGGUAAGUUCCGACCUGCACGAAUGGCGUAAUGAUGGCCACGCUGUCUCCACCCGAGACUCAGUGAAAUUGAAAUCGCUGUGAAGAUGCAGUGUACCCGCGGCUAGACGGAAAGACCCCGUGAACCUUUACUACAGCUUGGCACUGAACAUUGAACCUACAUGUGUAGGAUAGGUGGGAGACUUUGAAACCGCGUCGCUAGAUGUGGUGGAGUCGUCCUUGAAAUACCACCCUUGUAGUUUUGAUGUUCUAACGUUGG
Molecule: ribosomal RNA, 1848 nt
Filed under: Vibrio sp. 10N.286.51.C3
Lineage: Bacteria; Pseudomonadati; Pseudomonadota; Gammaproteobacteria; Vibrionales; Vibrionaceae
Description: bacterial LSU rRNA
Rfam family: Bacterial large subunit ribosomal RNA
Source: RNAcentral